This 505-nucleotide ribosomal RNA is filed under the name uncultured Archaeosporaceae. RNAcentral describes it as "SSU rRNA". It matches the Rfam family "Eukaryotic small subunit ribosomal RNA", at positions 569 to 1078 of the family's 1831-position model. Lineage: Eukaryota; Fungi; Glomeromycota; Glomeromycetes; Archaeosporales; Archaeosporaceae. The record is from RNAcentral.
AGCAGCCGCGGUAAUUCCAGCUCCAAUAGCGUAUAUUAAAGUUGUUGCAGUUAAAAAGCUCGUAGUUGAAUUUUGGAUUCUGCCAAUUGGUCCAUCUUUUAGAUGAGUACUGGUUGUGUGGGGUCUAUCCGCCUGGUGAUACGUAAUGUCCUUUAUUGGAUGUUGCGGGUAGUCAGGACCUUUACCUUGAAAAAUUAGAGUGUUUAAAGCAGGCUUAUGCCGGAAUACAUUAGCAUGGAAUAAUAGAAUAGGACGAAGUUGUUUUAUUUUGUUGGUUUCUAGGACAACCGUAAUGAUUAAUAGGGAUAGUUGGGGGCAUUAGUAUUCAAUUGUCAGAGGUGAAAUUCUUGGAUUUAUUGAAGACUAACUACUGCGAAAGCAUUUGCCAAGGAUGUUUUCAUUAAUCAAGAACGAAAGUUAGGGGAUCGAAGACGAUCAGAUACCGUCGUAGUCUUAACCAUAAACUAUGCCGACUAGGGAUCGGGCGAUGUGUUUCCAUGACUCG